Anas platyrhynchos (mallard) is the source of this 1767-nucleotide long non-coding RNA. RefSeq lists it as uncharacterized. The record is from RefSeq and is a predicted model, not a curated record. NCBI's taxonomy places the organism in Eukaryota, Metazoa, Chordata, Aves, Anseriformes, Anatidae.
GGUGGUGGUAUGUGCUGCUGGGGGCUUUCCUAGGAGCUGUGUGGAUGACCCUGGCCCCUGCAUGGUGUCAGCUGGUCCUGACCUGUGCAUGCUGCUGGAUUUCUUGAUUGUUUGGGGUCUCCAGCCAGCGAAGCCCCUGGGAUGUGCUCCUCACCCCCAUACUCUCAGUGCAGAGGCUGAUGCAGUGCUCCCAGUGCCAAGGAAAUGACUGAGCAGAUUUUCUCUGGUUUCCAGCUGACCACAUGGCUCUGCUGAUGACAGGGACAGGCUACACAGUUUUGAGGUAAUGCAGCCCUGAUCAGCCCUGAAUCUACAUCAAAAAUUGGAGAUAGAUGCUGCAGGCACCAAAUCCUCACAUCUUCUGCUGAGACCUAAGGCUCUGCGUCACCUCCAGGGUUGGUGUGGAGUUAGACACCAACCAGCCCCACGCUUCGUGGGGAGGGAAGGGAAAUCCAGCUCCUGUGCUGCCCCUGGAGAGCAUCUCUUAAUCGAGGCCUGCACACAAAUGUGUGCUCACAUGCUCACAAAGGCAGUGCUUGCCUGUGGCUGCACGUUCACAGUGUGACAGGCCUUAUAAGCCUCAAGCAAUGUUAUCUGGAAGUGGGAAGUGAAUCAAAUCAGGCCCUCUGGUGCAGAGCUGCUUUGCCUCUCAGGCUGUGUAUGCUGCAGCAUGCUCCUGCUGUGGCUGCCUUCCCUGUGCUUCAGAACAGAACCACCUGUCCAUCUGCAGAUCACUUCAGCUUCUUACAACAUCCUGGAAUAUUUUCUGUCUCUCAGACUCUUCCUGAGCUCCUGCAGUGUCUCCACUGAGCAUCUGUGUGGAAGGAGAUGCACAAGGUCUGAGCAUCACUUACGUCUUUGGGAGAAGGGUUAUAUCAAAGUGGUGAUGCUGACAGGUUGUUCCUGGCUCCAUGGAGAAGAUGCAGCACCUUCACUGGUGCUCAGCUGGAGACAGGAGCAACCAGAAGAGAGCUACAAAGCACAAAUGGCCCAUACAUAGUCAAGGUGCUGCUGCGGUAAGGUCUUGUGGAUUCUCCUCUUUUGUAACCUUUAAAUACCAAAGUCAUAAAUAAAACCCAGCUGCAACUGAAUAACAUCUGGAUGAUGGUUUGCUCUGCCCUUGCUUUGGAUGGGUACAGCAGAAAUGGGGAGUAGCCAUGAGGUGGCUGCAGUGACUUGGUGUUUUGCAGCCCAGAUGCAGAAGCCCUGAGCUGACUGGUGUGCUCAGACCCACUCAUACAUAUUUUUAAAGGAAAAUCAGUAACUUGCGGAAGUGCUGCUUGGCUCAGUGACCCAGGGUUAUGGGGGCUGUAGAGUUUUGAGACCCUCAGCCAGACCUGUGGAGUCCUAAACCCCAGACUGGCCAGUGGGGAGACAAGAAGCUUUUGGAGCUCCUCAGCCCAUCCAAGCUGCGAAGCGGGGUUGUGAACCUUGUUGUUCUCUGCGAGAAUGUUGCUUUUACAAUUAAAACCCACGCAAAGCCCCGGCCCUUGCUACUGCUUGUGUUACCCCAGUGAGAUAUCUGACAUUUGAGACAGAAUGGGAAGUCAAAGAAUGCGAGGAAUUUGGUGACUCAACAUAGGGUUUAUUAUACCAGUCCUACCGUUUAAGCCCGUGUAAUGUAAGAUUGUUUUACGGCAUGUGGCACAGUUCUGUGGGUUAAUUUAUAAGCAAACAAUUAUUCAAAUCGGAAUUUUUUUCCAUGCCUACAUAAACUUGUUAUCUGUUUGGCAGCAGGGGAUGCUGCAAAGAAAUGCACAUUUACAU